UACGGCCGUAUCACGUUGAAACACCGGUUCUCGUACGAUCACCGAAGUUAAGCAACAUCGAGCCUGGUCAGUACUUAUAUAAGUAACCGCUUGGGAAUACCAGGUGCUGUAAG
Acanthosepion pharaonis is the source of this 113-nucleotide non-coding RNA. The record is from the annotation of a GenBank genome assembly. Lineage: Eukaryota; Metazoa; Mollusca; Cephalopoda; Sepiida; Sepiidae.